GCCCUAGUAACGGCGAGUGAAGCGGCAACAGCUCAAAUUUGAAAUCUGGCUCUCGGGCCCGAGUUGUAAUUUGUAGAGGAUGAUUUUGGCGCGGUGCCUUCCGAGUUCCCUGGAACGGGACGCCUUAGAGGGUGAGAGCCCCGUACGGUUGGACACCAAGCCUCUGUAAAUCUCCUUCGACGAGUCGAGUAGUUUGGGAAUGCUGCUCUAAAUGGGAGGUAAAUUUCUUCUAAAGCUAAAUACCGGCCAGAGACCGAUAGCGCACAAGUAGAGUGAUCGAAAGAUGAAAAGCACUUUGAAAAGAGGGUUAAAUAGCACGUGAAAUUGUUGAAAGGGAAGCAUUUACUACCAGACCUCUGCCCUGCGGAUCAUGUGGUGUUCUCACCGCUGCACUUCGCUUGGUUUAGGCCAGCAUCGGUUUUUGUAGGGGGAUAAAAGCCUUAGGAACGUAGCUCCCUCGGGAGUGUUAUAGCCUUUUGCAUAAUACCCUUACGGGGACCGAGGACCGCGCUUCGGCAAGGAUGCUGGCAUAAUGGUAGUCAAUGACCCGUCUUGAAACACGGACCAAGGAGUCGAACAUUUGUGCGAGUGUUUGGGUGUUAAACCCUCACGCGUAAUGAAAGUGAACGUAGGUGAGAGCCCUUACGGGUGCAUCAUCGACCGAUCUUGAUGUCUUCGGAUGGAUUUGAGUAAGAGCAUAACUGUUCGGACCCGAAAGAUGGUGAACUAUGCGUGGAUAGGGUGAAGCCAGAGGAAACUCUGGUGGAGGCUCGCAGCGGUUCUGACGUGCAAAUCGAUCGUCAAAUCUGCGCAUGGGGGCGAAAGACUUAUCGA
This 834-nucleotide ribosomal RNA is filed under the name Muscodor fengyangensis. RNAcentral describes it as "Induratia fengyangensis partial 28S large subunit ribosomal RNA". It matches the Rfam family "Eukaryotic large subunit ribosomal RNA", at positions 77 to 938 of the family's 3401-position model. The record is from RNAcentral. Lineage: Eukaryota; Fungi; Ascomycota; Sordariomycetes; Xylariales.